RNAcentral lists this ribosomal RNA (461 nucleotides) under uncultured bacterium. RNAcentral's name for it is "bacterial SSU rRNA". It matches the Rfam family "Bacterial small subunit ribosomal RNA", at positions 32 to 507 of the family's 1533-position model. The record is from RNAcentral.
GAGACGCUGGCGGCGUGCCUAACACAUGCAAGUCAACGGAGUUAAGACUUCGGUUUUAACUUAGUGGCGAACGGGUGAGUAACGCGUGAGAAACCUGCCUUUCGGUGGGGGACAACAGUUGGAAACGACUGCUAAUACCGCAUAAUGUUAUUUGGGGGCAUCCUUGAAUAACCAAAGCUUUAUUGCUGAAAGAUGGUCUCGCGUCUGAUUAGCUAGUUGGUGAGGUAAACGGCUCACCAAGGCGACGAUCAGUAGCCGGUCUGAGAGGAUGAACGGCCACAUUGGGACUGAGAUACGGCCCAGACUCCUACGGGAGGCAGCAGUGGGGAAUAUUGGGCAAUGGGGGAAACCCUGACCCAGCAACGCCGCGUGAAGGAAGAAGGCCUUCGGGUUGUAAACUUCUUUUAGUAGGGACGAAGAACGUGACGGUACCUACAGAAAAAGCAACGGCUAACUACGUG